RNAcentral lists this transfer RNA (79 nucleotides) under Dietzia sp. DQ12-45-1b. RNAcentral describes it as "tRNA-His". It matches the Rfam family "tRNA". From Rfam's summary of the family: Transfer RNA (tRNA) molecules are approximately 80 nucleotides in length. Their secondary structure includes four short double-helical elements and three loops (D, anti-codon, and T loops). The record is from RNAcentral. Lineage: Bacteria; Bacillati; Actinomycetota; Actinomycetes; Mycobacteriales; Dietziaceae.
GUGGCUGUAGUUCAGUUGGUAGAGCACCAGGUUGUGAUCCUGGCUGUCGCGGGUUCGAGUCCCGUCAGCCACCCCCACC